Molecule: long non-coding RNA, 1178 nt
Organism: Mauremys reevesii (Reeves's turtle)
Lineage: Eukaryota; Metazoa; Chordata; Testudines; Geoemydidae
Exons: 5
Source: RefSeq, a predicted model, not a curated record
CACGCUAACGGCCGCCGCGCCGCGGCCUCAGCGCCUGUCCCCAGAGCAAGGCGCGCGCAGGCUUCUCUCGCCGCAGCCCAAGUCGGGGCGUGAGGCGCUUGCAGGACCCCCCCCGCCCAUAGUUUACCUUCCACCCAGGCAGCGGCUCCUCCUCCUGUCAGUGAGACCAGGGAACCCUGACUCUUGUGGAAAAAGGUUAACACAGACCAACUGAACACAGACCAGCUGUGACAGAUCACAGGAACUGGACCUCAAAAUGUAUACAAAGAGCAAAGUUCAAGAAACAGUUCCUUUCAGGCAUCUCUUUGGAGUGAAGAGGCCAUCUCUUGAGCCAGCUGAAGACCAUAUGGAGAGGCUUCCAGGGCCUUUUAUAUUCUCUCUCUUGUGGGUGGAAACCUCUUUGUUCUUCUAUGCAAAAUCAGAGCACCAAGAUGGAGUUUGUAGCCAUCUGGGUAGAGUCUCCACACCCUAUCCUAUAAAAACAGAAGACAAGAUGGAAUGACAUCUAGGUGACAUCAAGGCCAGCUCUGCUAUCACAGGAAAUCAAUCAUAUGGGAUACUCCCACUGUCUCAGUCUAUGAUGCUCUUCCUUGGUAACAAAGUUCGAGUGUGCUGUGUUGCUGUCCCUUUUUGUUCCCUACCUGCAAAAAAAGUUUUGAUGAUUAAAAGAAAAUAGAAACCUUCCUGUCUUCAAUGUUGCCAUCACAAUAAGGCAACACAAAUCUAUGAAAAUUAGUGUUGAGGUUUUUAAGGCUAAGAACUAAUUCCCCAUUUCCCUGGUGACGAGUUAUUUGACUUGCUGCGAGGGAACUAAAUAAAGCAAGAUUUGCAAUUUCUAGGCAUCUUGCAAGUGACAGAACUGAUAGUGUGCCACACAGUGGGGGUUAGAGGAGAGAUAAACAGUCAACAAAGUGACAGAAAAACAAGCAACGUGACAUCCAUCCUAGAUCAGUUUGAAAUUAAUUACACCCAAGUCCCUUUUGCUUUUGUGCACUUGUAAUUCCAGUUGUUUUACAUAAGCAUCAUUCAGUUGCUGUAGACAUGAUUGUUCUUGCAAGUAACAAGACUGCGUCCCUGUGGCUCUAUAUUAAUGUAAUUUUAACUUCCUAUUACUAGAGACAAAGGUGUAUACUCAAAAUAAUUCAUGAAUUUUUUGCAAAUAAAAUACUCCCUUGAAA